UCCUGGCUCAGGAUGAACGCUGGCGGCGUGCCUAAUACAUGCAAGUCGAGCGAACGGACGAGAAGCUUGCUUCUCUGAUGUUAGCGGCGGACGGGUGAGUAACACGUGGAUAACCUACCUAUAAGACUGGGAUAACUUCGGGAAACCGGAGCUAAUACCGGAUAAUAUUUUGAACCGCAUGGUUCAAAAGUGAAAGACGGUCUUGCUGUCACUUAUAGAUGGAUCCGCGCUGCAUUAGCUAGUUGGUAAGGUAACGGCUUACCAAGGCAACGAUGCAUAGCCGACCUGAGAGGGUGAUCGGCCACACUGGAACUGAGACACGGUCCAGACUCCUACGGGAGGCAGCAGUAGGGAAUCUUCCGCAAUGGGCGAAAGCCUGACGGAGCAACGCCGCGUGAGUGAUGAAGGUCUUCGGAUCGUAAAACUCUGUUAUUAGGGAAGAACAUAUGUGUAAGUAACUGUGCACAUCUUGACGGUACCUAAUCAGAAAGCCACGGCUAACUACGUGCCAGCAGCCGCGGUAAUACGUAGGUGGCAAGCGUUAUCCGGAAUUAUUGGGCGUAAAGCGCGCGUAGGCGGUUUUUUAAGUCUGAUGUGAAAGCCCACGGCUCAACCGUGGAGGGUCAUUGGAAACUGGAAAACUUGAGUGCAGAAGAGGAAAGUGGAAUUCCAUGUGUAGCGGUGAAAUGCGCAGAGAUAUGGAGGAACACCAGUGGCGAAGGCGACUUUCUGGUCUGUAACUGACGCUGAUGUGCGAAAGCGUGGGGAUCAAACAGGAUUAGAUACCCUGGUAGUCCACGCCGUAAACGAUGAGUGCUAAGUGUUAGGGGGUUUCCGCCCCUUAGUGCUGCAGCUAACGCAUUAAGCACUCCGCCUGGGGAGUACGACCGCAAGGUUGAAACUCAAAGGAAUUGACGGGGACCCGCACAAGCGGUGGAGCAUGUGGUUUAAUUCGAAGCAACGCGAAGAACCUUACCAAAUCUUGACAUCCUUUGACAACUCUAGAGAUAGAGCUUUCCCCUUCGGGGGACAAAGUGACAGGUGGUGCAUGGUUGUCGUCAGCUCGUGUCGUGAGAUGUUGGGUUAAGUCCCGCAACGAGCGCAACCCUUAAGCUUAGUUGCCAUCAUUAAGUUGGGCACUCUAAGUUGACUGCCGGUGACAAACCGGAGGAAGGUGGGGAUGACGUCAAAUCAUCAUGCCCCUUAUGAUUUGGGCUACACACGUGCUACAAUGGACAAUACAAAGGGCAGCGAAACCGCGAGGUCAAGCAAAUCCCAUAAAGUUGUUCUCAGUUCGGAUUGUAGUCUG
Molecule: ribosomal RNA, 1309 nt
Filed under: Staphylococcus aureus
Lineage: Bacteria; Bacillati; Bacillota; Bacilli; Caryophanales; Staphylococcaceae
Description: bacterial SSU rRNA
Rfam family: Bacterial small subunit ribosomal RNA
Source: RNAcentral